UGCCCUGUCGUUCAAUUGGUAGGACACAUGACUCUGGCUCAUGCGAUCUUGGUUCGAGCCCAGGCGGGGCAG
Molecule: transfer RNA, 72 nt
Filed under: Candidatus Omnitrophota bacterium
Lineage: Bacteria; Pseudomonadati; Candidatus Omnitrophota
Description: tRNA-Gln
Rfam family: tRNA
About the family: Transfer RNA (tRNA) molecules are approximately 80 nucleotides in length.
Source: RNAcentral